This 253-nucleotide ribosomal RNA is filed under the name uncultured bacterium. RNAcentral describes it as "partial 16S ribosomal RNA". It matches the Rfam family "Bacterial small subunit ribosomal RNA", at positions 524 to 776 of the family's 1533-position model. The record is from RNAcentral.
UACGUAGGGUGCGAGCGUUAAUCGGAAUUCCUGGGCGUAAAGCGUGCGCAGGCGGUUCGUUAAGUCAGAUGUGAAAGCCCCGGGCUCAACCUGGGAACUGCAUUUGAAACUGGCGGGCUUGAGUGUGGCAGAGGGGGGUGGAAUUCCGCGUGUAGCAGUGAAAUGCGUAGAGAUGCGGAGGAACACCGAUGGCGAAGGCAGCCCCCUGGGCCAACACUGACGCUCAGGCACGAAAGCGUGGGGAGCAAACAGG